RNAcentral lists this ribosomal RNA (254 nucleotides) under uncultured bacterium. Its description in RNAcentral is "partial 16S ribosomal RNA". It matches the Rfam family "Bacterial small subunit ribosomal RNA", at positions 524 to 776 of the family's 1533-position model. The record is from RNAcentral.
GACGUAGGGCGCGAGCGUUGUCCGGAAUUAUUGGGCGUAAAGAGCUCGUAGGCGGUCUGUCGCGUCGGUCGUGAAAACUUGGGGCUUAACCCUGAGCUUGCGGUCGAUACGGGCAUGACUGGAGUUCGGCAGGGGAGACUGGAAUUCCUGGUGCAGCGGUGAAAUGCGCAGAUAUCAGGAGGAACACCGGUGGCGAAGGCGGGUCUCUGGGCCGAUACUGACGCUGAGGAGCGAAAGCGUGGGGAGCGAACAGG